UACGGAGGGUGCAAGCGUUAUCCGGAUUCACUGGGUUUAAAGGGUGCGUAGGCGGGUAUGUAAGUCCGUGGUGAAAUCCUGCAGCUUAACUGCAGAACUGCCGUGGAUACUAUAUAUCUUGAAUAUCGUGGAGGUUAGUGGAAUAGGUCAUGUAGCGGUGAAAUGCUUAGAGAUGACAUGGAACACCGAUUGCGAAGGCAGCUGGCUACACGAUAAUUGACGCUGAGGCACGAAAGCGUGGGUAGCAAACAGGAUUAGAUACCCUGGUAGUCCACGCCCUAAACGAUGGAUACUCGACAUCAGCGAUAUUACUGUUGGUGUCUGAGCGAAAGCAUUAAGUAUCCCACCUGGGAAGUACGAUCGCAAGAUUGAA
This 373-nucleotide ribosomal RNA is filed under the name uncultured bacterium. RNAcentral describes it as "bacterial SSU rRNA". It matches the Rfam family "Bacterial small subunit ribosomal RNA", at positions 524 to 898 of the family's 1533-position model. The record is from RNAcentral.